UUGGUCUCAAAUCUCAAGUCUCUUAAAAAUUGCGUGGUCCGCCUUCCAAGCCCUUAAUGCAUUCAUUGUGACCUCAUUCUCCAUUCAUUCAAAUUUUCUCAUCCCCCACCUGGUCGCCUAGUCCUUCCCAACUUCCCUUUCCCUCUCAAAUCUCCCAAAAAUCUUAUCUUCUCUCAACCUCCUCUCUCGUUAACAUUUAUAACGUUUACUUUUCUCAAACGCCUCAUUUUCCUAAACCCCACAAUUCCUCCUCAGAAGGUUUUUCCAGGUUUAGUUGCAAGUAUGGUGAUGAUGGGGUUGGAGAGGUUGCUGGUGAAUCUAAAAUCAAAGUUGAGGUGUCUGAAAAUGAAGAAGCCUUACGAUAAGAUCGAAAAGAGUGAGAGCAUGAGAGUGGAAAUUAGGAGCAGGAAGGCCCGGAAGCUCAUAGAAGAGACCCUCAAAGUUGCAGACUCUCCCAAGACCAAAAGCUAUGCUUUCUGAUCAUCACUGUGCUUUCAUCAAUUAUUACGAGGCACUGGCUUAUAAUUUUCCUUUUUUCUCUUUUUCUUUUCCUCUUAGUCUCCGCCAUAUAUGAAUAAUCAUAUGAUAUGGUGGCUUUUCUUCUGUUUUCACUUGUCACAUGACCCUUCUCUUUCUCUGUCUCACUCACAACCGUCCAUAUAUGUAAGUUCCAGAUCAUGAACACAUGGUUUAUAUUCUUACAGGUCGUCUGGCUCCUCUGGAUUUUGUUUGUUU
Molecule: long non-coding RNA, 735 nt
Organism: Vitis riparia (riverbank grape)
Lineage: Eukaryota; Viridiplantae; Streptophyta; Magnoliopsida; Vitales; Vitaceae
Exons: 2
Source: RefSeq, a predicted model, not a curated record